GACGAACGCUGGCGGCGUGCCUAAUACAUGCAAGUCGAACGCUUCUUUCCUCCCGAGUGCUUGCACUCAAUUGGAAAGAGGAGUGGCGGACGGGUGAGUAACACGUGGGUAACCUACCCAUCAGAGGGGGAUAACACUUGGAAACAGGUGCUAAUACCGCAUAACAGUUUAUGCCGCAUGGCAUAAGAGUGAAAGGCGCUUUCGGGUGUCGUUGAUGGAUGGACCCGCGGUGCAUUAGCUAGUUGGUGAGGUAACGGCUCACCAAGGCCACGAUGCAUAGCCGACCUGAGAGGGUGAUCGGCCACACUGGGACUGAGACACGGCCCAGACUCCUACGGGAGACAGCAGUAGGGAAUCUUCGGCAAUGGACGAAAGUCUGACCGAGCAACGCCGCGUGAGUGAAGAAGGUUUUCGGAUCGUAAAACUCUGUUGUUAGAGAAGAACAGGGACGUUAGUAACUGAACGUCCCCUGACGGUAUCUAACCAGAAAGCCACGGCUAACUACGUG
This 508-nucleotide ribosomal RNA is filed under the name uncultured bacterium. Its description in RNAcentral is "partial 16S ribosomal RNA". It matches the Rfam family "Bacterial small subunit ribosomal RNA", at positions 28 to 507 of the family's 1533-position model. The record is from RNAcentral.